UUACUCUUACGGGAGGCAGCAGUUGGUAAUUUUGGACAAUGGGCGCAAGCCUGAUCCAGCCAUUCCGCGUGAGUGAAGAAGGCCUUCGGGUUGUAAAGCUCUUUCGGCAGGAAAGAAACGGUCUGUGCUAAUACCACGGGCUAAG
This 145-nucleotide ribosomal RNA is filed under the name uncultured bacterium. RNAcentral describes it as "partial 16S ribosomal RNA". It matches the Rfam family "Bacterial small subunit ribosomal RNA", at positions 333 to 471 of the family's 1533-position model. The record is from RNAcentral.